This 304-nucleotide unclassified non-coding RNA is filed under the name Hevea brasiliensis (rubber tree). The record is from RNAcentral. Lineage: Eukaryota; Viridiplantae; Streptophyta; Magnoliopsida; Malpighiales; Euphorbiaceae.
AAGUGUUCACUGCGUUCUUCUUCUCGAUUUAUCUUUCUUGGUUUCUUGAUCUGUAGCUUAUUAGCGGCCAUGUGCGGCGGAGCAAUCAUCUCCGGGUUCAUCCCGCCGUCGGCCGCUGCGGCGGCGGCGGCUGCGGUGGCCAAGAAGCAGCAGGGCAGGAGGGUCACGGCCGACGUGCUGUGGCCGGGGAUGCUGCGGAAGGGGAAGGCGGCGGCGGCGGAGGAGGACUUUGAGGCCGACUUCCGCGAGUUCGAGCGUGGCAUGAGCGACGACGAGGCGGAGGGGGGCGGCGGCGAGGAGGAGG